Molecule: ribosomal RNA, 237 nt
Filed under: uncultured bacterium
Lineage: Bacteria
Description: partial 16S ribosomal RNA
Rfam family: Bacterial small subunit ribosomal RNA
Source: RNAcentral
CGGAGCAAAUCUCGAAAAGCCGUCCCAGUUCGGAUUGCAGGCUGCAACCCGCCUGCAUGAAGUUGGAAUCGCUAGUAAUCGCGGAUCAGCAUGCCGCGGUGAAUACGUUCCCGGGCCUUGUACACACCGCCCGUCACACCAUGAGAGUCGGGAACACCCGAAGUCCGUAGCCUAACCGCAAGGGGGGCGCGGCCGAAGGUGGGUUCGAUAAUUGGGGUGAAGUCGUAACAAGGUAUC